UCAACCUGAGAGUUUGAUCCUGGCUCAGAGCGAACGCUGGCGGCAGGCCUAACACAUGCAAGUCGAACGAACUCUUCGGAGUUAGUGGCGGACGGGUGAGUAACACGUGGGAACGUGCCUUUAGGUUCGGAAUAACUCAGGGAAACUUGUGCUAAUACCGAAUGUGCCCUUCGGGGGA
Molecule: ribosomal RNA, 178 nt
Filed under: Salmonella sp. gx-f9
Lineage: Bacteria; Pseudomonadati; Pseudomonadota; Gammaproteobacteria; Enterobacterales; Enterobacteriaceae
Description: partial 16S ribosomal RNA
Rfam family: Bacterial small subunit ribosomal RNA
Source: RNAcentral